GUCCACGCCGUAAACGAUGGGCACUAGGUCCUUGGGGGAGCGACCCCGUGAGGGCCGGCGCUAACGCAUUAAGUGCCCCGCCUGGGGAGUACGGCCGCAAGGCUGAAACUCAAAGGAAUUGACGGGGGCCCGCACAAGCGGUGGAGCAUGUGGUUUAAUUCGACGCAACGCGAAGAACCUUACCUGGGCUUGACAUGCUGGGGAAACCCUGGGGAAACCUGGGGCCUCCUUCGGGACUCCAGCACAGGUGCUGCAUGGCUGUCGU
RNAcentral lists this ribosomal RNA (265 nucleotides) under uncultured bacterium. Its description in RNAcentral is "partial 16S ribosomal RNA". It matches the Rfam family "Bacterial small subunit ribosomal RNA", at positions 793 to 1055 of the family's 1533-position model. The record is from RNAcentral.